GAUGAACGCUGACAGAAUGCUUAACACAUGCAAGUCGAUGGGGAAGUGGUGCUUGCACCAUGGUAACCAUGGCGGACGGGUGAGUAACGCGUAAGGAACUUGCCUGCGGGACUGGGAUAACAGCAGGAAACUGCUGAUAAUACCGGAUAAGGUCAUUAAGCUGCAUAGCUUAGUGAUGAAAGGAGACGCCUGCGGAGAGCCUUGCGUCCUAUUAGCUAGUUGGAGGGGUAACGGCCCACCAAGGCGAAGAUAGGUAGCCGGCCUGAGAGGGUGGACGGCCACAAGGGGACUGAGAUACGGCCUUUACUCCUACGGGAGGCAGCAGUGGGGAAGAUUGGACAAUGGGGGCAACCCUGAUCCAGCAAUUCUGUGUGCACGAAGACGGUUUUCGGAUUGUAAAGUGCUUUCAGCAGGGAAGAAGGAAGUGACGGUACCUGCAGAAGAAGCGACGGCUAAAUACGUG
Molecule: ribosomal RNA, 463 nt
Filed under: uncultured bacterium
Lineage: Bacteria
Description: partial 16S ribosomal RNA
Rfam family: Bacterial small subunit ribosomal RNA
Source: RNAcentral